Bactrocera dorsalis (oriental fruit fly) is the source of this 633-nucleotide long non-coding RNA. RefSeq lists it as uncharacterized. NCBI's taxonomy places the organism in Eukaryota, Metazoa, Arthropoda, Insecta, Diptera, Tephritidae. The record is from RefSeq and is a predicted model, not a curated record. The transcript is spliced from 2 exons.
UUCGGCUACGAAAAAGCAGAUGAGUUGACUAAUUCAGGAGCCCUUCUCUACGAAUCCAAAAAAUAUACACUAUGAACAAAAAUAAUUCAUCCAACCAGUAUCCGUCGGGGGGAGCAGAAGAAGGGAAAGACCUCCGUUGGCAGGAUCAGGUGAAGAAGAACAGGAUAGCGAAACUGAUGCGAGAAAGCAGAAACUAAGGACUUAUUACAUGGAUCCGUGAAAAGUAUUUACAGACUUACUACAGCUACCAAAAUGAGGUAUUGGCCAUUUGGAGAACAUGCAAACAUGAGUGCCAAGCCCUAUCGCAAAUCAGCCAACGAAUUUUUGGAAUUAUUCCGAUACCAACCUUAAUUAAUCACUCCAAUAGACAUAAGAAAUAAAAAUCAUAAAUUUUUUUAAAUUCAUUUUUAAUUUCAAUUUGCAAAUAGAUUUUCAGAGUAAACGAUAAAACAUUUCACAAUAGCUGAACAUAGGAUAUGUAUCUACUAAAUUUAUAUAUGUAUAAUAUACUAUAAUAUAUGUAUAUGUUGGUUGUAUGUUUGUAGGUAGCUUUAAUUAUACAACUAUAUAUAUUUAUAUGUAGGUAUGUGUGAGAUAUUUUUAUAAUAAAUGCUUAAGCGCACCAAAUACGUA